ACAGUCAUGAUGGAAUAAUGGUAGACAUAUCGGUACUUAAUGUGCCGAAGUCCGAGAGGACGUAUAGGUUCGAAUCUUGUUGACUGUA
This 88-nucleotide transfer RNA is filed under the name Caudoviricetes sp. RNAcentral's name for it is "tRNA-Ile". Lineage: Duplodnaviria; Heunggongvirae; Uroviricota; Caudoviricetes. The record is from RNAcentral.